RNAcentral lists this ribosomal RNA (540 nucleotides) under uncultured Pseudomonadota bacterium. RNAcentral describes it as "bacterial SSU rRNA". It matches the Rfam family "Bacterial small subunit ribosomal RNA", at positions 63 to 592 of the family's 1533-position model. The record is from RNAcentral. Lineage: Bacteria; Pseudomonadati; Pseudomonadota.
CGAACGGUAACAGGAAGCAGCUUGCUGCUUUGCUGACGAGUGGCGGACGGGUGAGUAAUGUCUGGGAAACUGCCUGAUGGAGGGGGAUAACUACUGGAAACGGUAGCUAAUACCGCAUAACGUCGCAAGACCAAAGAGGGGGACCUUCGGGCCUCUUGCCAUCGGAUGUGCCCAGAUGGGAUUAGCUAGUAGGUGGGGUAAAGGCUCACCUAGGCGACGAUCCCUAGCUGGUCUGAGAGGAUGACCAGCCACACUGGAACUGAGACACGGUCCAGACUCCUACGGGAGGCAGCAGUGGGGAAUAUUGCACAAUGGGCGCAAGCCUGAUGCAGCCAUGCCGCGUGUAUGAAGAAGGCCUUCGGGUUGUAAAGUACUUUCAGCGGGGAGGAAGGGAGUAAAGUUAAUACCUUUGCUCAUUGACGUUACCCGCAGAAGAAGCACCGGCUAACUCCGUGCCAGCAGCCGCGGUAAUACGGAGGGUGCAAGCGUUAAUCGGAAUUACUGGGCGUAAAGCGCACGCAGGCGGUUUGUUAAGUCAGA